Molecule: long non-coding RNA, 930 nt
Organism: Herpailurus yagouaroundi (jaguarundi)
Lineage: Eukaryota; Metazoa; Chordata; Mammalia; Carnivora; Felidae
Exons: 2
Source: RefSeq, a predicted model, not a curated record
CCUGGGAUAAAUUUUCAUGAUAACGUGGCUCUGACAGGCCAGCUCACGUUUGCUCUAGUGUUCGUUUGGCACGAGUCGUCAAUAUUUCAUGUUUUUCUUUUUCUUCCUCUUUUUUUAAAGCGUGUAAAGGGCCGUCUUGAUUUCCAGGUCUUGUGUUAGUUUCUUGACCUCUUUCUGGAGCUUUGUCCUAGCCCCUCUGCCGGUGUGUGUCCUGACACGCAGGUGGCAGUCCGGGAGGCUGCCGGCUCUCCCUCCCGCCUGCUUGGACUCUCCCCUGGGUCUCCUACCACAGCCUCUGACUCGUGUGUGUGUGUGUGUGUGUGUGUGUGUGUGUGUGUGUGUGUGCGUGAUUUCCCAGCAGAAUGGAAAACACCCUGGGACAGCAGUUUCGUCUCAUUUGCUGCCCUGCUCCCACACCUACCGAAGUGCUAAGCAUGCAGCACGCCCUAGCGGGGCUGCUGCAUCAAUGACUGGCCGUCCUGCCCAAGAGCAGGUUUUAAACCCCCACGUCGUGAGCCCAUCCGAGGAGCAGAAGCUGAGCCACCAUUGGUUAAUGUGGUCACCUGAGCUCCUACUCGUGGGCGUCCUUCCCCUGCGUGGGAAUGCCAUGAGCCGGCAGGGCAGCCGGUGGCUCUUGACCUGGGCUGGCCGGAAGCACCUUGAGGGCACCCGCGAGCACCAUUGCCCGGUGUCCGGCCCUGUGAACCACAGCCCUGGGGCUACAAUUUGGGCACCUGGGUGAACAUCCUGAGUGGUGUUGUAGGGUUUCGUCCCAAAACGUGGACUCCCGGACGGCAGCUGCCUGAAGGACUCCAUGCCAUCAGUUUCCGUGGUGUUGCAGGCAGGUUGCUUAUUUGCCCUAAUGAGGUUUUGAUUACUCUCCAUUUGUCUCUUUCACCAGCUUUAUAUUAAAAAGACUUUUUAUUUGGA